RNAcentral lists this ribosomal RNA (497 nucleotides) under uncultured bacterium. Its description in RNAcentral is "partial 16S ribosomal RNA". It matches the Rfam family "Bacterial small subunit ribosomal RNA", at positions 28 to 507 of the family's 1533-position model. The record is from RNAcentral.
GAUGAACGCUGGCGGCGUGCCUAAUACAUGCAAGUCGAGCGAACAGACGAGGAUCUUGCUCCUCUUACGUUAGCGACGGACGGGUGAGUAACACGUGUAUAACCUACCUAUAAGACUGGGAUAACUUCGGGAAACCGGAGCUAAUACCGGAUAAUAUAUUGAACCGCAUGGUUCAAUAGUGAAAGACGGUUUUGCUGUCACUUAUAGAUGGAUCCGCGCCGCAUUAGCUAGUUGGUAAGGUAACGGCUUACCAAGGCAACGAUGCGUAGCCGACCUGAGAGGGUGAUCGGCCACACUGGAACUGAGACACGGUCCAGACUCCUACGGGAGGCAGCAGUAGGGAAUCUUCGGCAAUGGGCGAAAGCCUGACGGAGCCACGCCGCGUGAGUGAUGAAGGUCUUCGGAUCGUAAAGCUCUGUUAUUAGGGAAGAACAAAUGUGUAAGUAAAUAUGCACGUCUUGACGGUACCUAAUCAGAAAGCCACGGCUAACUACGUG